AGUUUUUUCUGCAAGCCUAGGACACAGGGUUAUGGUCCUCCAUGGAUGGCCUUCAAAAUUACAUUUGUGAAUUGGGUAUGAGAGAGGCAAUCUAUGAAGAUACAUUUGACAGCCCAGCUAAGCCUCUAGGAUCACCUGAAGGAAAUAAAUGCCAUCAAAGCAUUCCGGUGUUGCUGUGAGAUGAUGUGCGACAUUUGGUGAUGGGCUACAUGGGACUGAUGGAGCAUAGGAUGGACCUCCACCUCACUACCACAUGCCUCCAGUAACAUCAAGCAGUGGUCCGUGAAAGAACAUGAACUUUCACCAAUAUCACUCAUCUUAAAUUGUGUCGACAUACUUCGCGACAGGGAACUGUAUAAGCAUUGUGAUGUGUCAGAUCUAUGUAUUAGGGAAGACUUACCCUCUAG
This is a long non-coding RNA of Gallus gallus (chicken), 407 nucleotides long. Lineage: Eukaryota; Metazoa; Chordata; Aves; Galliformes; Phasianidae. The record is from Ensembl.